GCAUGGUAAUGGGUUCAUGGGGUCACUUCUCUGUGGGCCUCAUAGAGUGCCCAUGCCAGUGUAAACUUCAGCCUUGAACCAUUGCCCUGCCUCCUUGCCCAUAGGCUGUGAGUACUAAAGGUGAUUGCAAAAAA
This is a small nucleolar RNA of Saimiri boliviensis boliviensis (Bolivian squirrel monkey), 134 nucleotides long. NCBI's taxonomy places the organism in Eukaryota, Metazoa, Chordata, Mammalia, Primates, Cebidae. The record is from Ensembl.